This 554-nucleotide ribosomal RNA is filed under the name uncultured bacterium. Its description in RNAcentral is "bacterial SSU rRNA". It matches the Rfam family "Bacterial small subunit ribosomal RNA", at positions 126 to 674 of the family's 1533-position model. The record is from RNAcentral.
CUGCCUAGUGGUGGGGGAUAACGUUCGGAAUCGGACGCUAAUACCGCAUACGUCCUGCGGGAGAAAGCGGGGGAUCUUCGGACCUCGCGCCAUUAGAUGAGCCUAGGUCGGAUUAGCUAGUUGGUGAGGUAAUGGCUCACCGGGGCGACGAUCCGUAACUGGUCUGAGAGGAUGAUCAGUCGCACUGGAACUGAGACACGGUCCAGACUCCUACAGGAGGCAGCAGUGGGGAAUAUUGGACAAUGGGCGAAAGCCUGAUCCAGCCAUGCCGCGUGUGUGAAGAAGGUCUUCGGAUUGUAAAGCACUUUAAGUUGGGAGGAAGGGUAGUAACCUAAUACGUUGCUACUUUGACGUUACCGACAGAAUAAGCACCGGCUAACUUCGUGCCAGCAGCCGCGGUAAUACGAAGGGUGCGAGCGUUAAUCGGAAUUACUGGGCGUAAGGCGCGCGUAGGUGGUUCAGUAUGUUGGAAGUGAAAUCCCCGGGCUCAACCUGGGAACUGCUUUUCAUAACUGCUGAGCUACAGUACGGUAGAAGGUGGUGGAAUUUCCUGU